AGACAGUGCGGUAAAGCCAAGGGAGAUUAUCCAGACCCCCAGGAGCGAACAGCAAGCAGCAACCGAAGGCGCAAGUGCCAGGAUUACAGCCUAGGCUGCUCCAACUAUGAGCCCUUCCUCGGACCCUGGGACUCGGCUACUUGGGGUUUGGGGGUCUUCCACACCACAGAGGCACAAAGCUGACUUUAAUCACUUUUUUUCCUUUAAACUUGAUUCUGCCGCAGUGGAGCCAGCACAGCGGAUGUUUUCACACCCAGCAAGACAAAGGCCGUCGUCUCCGCCAUGACACUGUUCCGUUCCAAGCAGAGGCCGGGAUUCUGGACUCCUCGAAAAAUCAAAAAGAAACAAGGAAAACAAACAACAAAUACAGCAACAAACAGAAAAAACUGAAAACCACCAAAAUCGUUUGCCCGUUUGCCCGUGCCAGGGGUGAUCUGGGCAUCUGUUGCAGCAGAAGGCGCUUGUGUGGGGCUAAUUUUUCUUUUGGUGGGGGGGACAAGCUGUUGGCUUGUUUGCUAUUUCAACUUCGUUUAUAAUUAACUUAAAAAAAACCCCACCAUUCAGCCUAGUCAACAACAAACAAAGAAAAAGCAGACAUCGGAAGAGAAAUGCCAUAGGAAGCGGCAUGAAUACAUGCCACAGCCGGUGCCACUUGCCACUCGGAAAACCUCAGGGAAAGAUGCCAAUUCUACAGCUGCGAAGAAGGCAGAGAAAGGAGGAUAAAGGUCUACAACUAGAAAUCAUAAGGAAAGAAUACUGCUUGUAUAAUCCUGGAUUGCAAUUGCACACAGCCUCUGCUGGGAGAAGAGAGGGAAUAUUUAAAUGGAGAUAUAGAUGGGUAUAAAUUAAAAGAUAGGCACCUAUCGAUUGCGUAUAAACACAUGUGUAAGGUUGUAUGUGUAUAUAAAUAUGCAUAUUUUCAGACAAACGUUUAGAUAUGUAUAUAUUUUGUGCUACAGGUAUGGGUAUGUAUAUAGGUGUAUAUGUUUAUGCAUAUACACACAUAUGUAGGAUGUAUGCAUGUGUGAGAAAAAGGAGGGAGAGAGAGGAGAGAGAAGGAAAUAUGUGUAUGUGCAUGUAUGUGUAUGCAUACAUCCCACUUUUUGACCCAGGUAUACACAGAAGACAAAAUAAAAAUCAUACUCCAGCAGCAAGCAGGCAGCCAGAGAUUUAUCUACAUUCACUGCUAUCACCAGGGAGAUGAAUGGGGCCGAUCUGAAGCCCUUUUACAAGAUCCACUAUGGGAGUGAAGGAGGAGGAGGGAUGCCACACAGACAUGCACAAACUUGAAGGCAGAGCGAUUUGGAAGGGGCUACUGAGGAAACACUGGUGGCAUAACGCAGGGGAGAAGAAGGGGAAAGAGGCUUGUCUCUCUCUCUCUAUGUUUUAGGUGGUUGUUUUUAAAAAAUCUGCAAAAGGGUUUCAGGGAACGGCUGGUACUUACGUUGUCUGCGUUGCUGUGGAUCCUGAAAGGUGUUCUGUUGGCACCGGGCGCUGAGCCAGGGGCAGGCGCUGGAAACAAAAGGGAGAGACAAAAAAAUAAAGUGAUUCAAUGGGAAUAUUAAUUGCUGCUCUUGUGGAUUUUACAAAACACAUAAACUGUUUUCUUUUUCUUUCUUAAAAAAAAAUGUGGAUUGGCGCGUGUCCCUUUUGCAUGGAAUAUACAAGUAGUAUGGGAUUUACAGCCCAGUUACGGGACUCAGGAUUAGCUGCGCUGGCAUCUUUUGGGCAUAUUCUUCCUUUUAAUGAAUGAGCUUUCGCUGUUAAUGAGGAAUAAUCGUUUGGCUAAUGAGCUUUGAAACAUUAAGAGAAAAGAGGUUUUUUCCGUUAAUCGCUCUGGUGCGACUGCAUGGAUGGAUUACAAAAGACAGCAAUAGGAACGCAGUACAAAGGGGGGGACCUCUCCUGCAGUGGGAGAAGCACCGAGAUGGGUGAUGUGUCCCUGCGUCUUUCCUUCCUUCUCUCUUUCGCUCUCUCUGCCAACUGCUAUGGGUUUCCAUAACUCUGCAAUCAAAGUGGAUGGUCGGGAAGGAUUAUUACACAGAGUGAAGCCUCCGCUGUUAAUGUCUCCAGUGUUUAAUCAUCAUACAGUAGAAUGGUUUUAUGCAUAUUUCAUUUGCAUAUCAUUAAACUGUGUUAGUGAGGGGCAUUCAGAACCAGGAGAAGUACAAAGUUGGGGAGAGAGGGAAGAAAAAAAGGUCCCUAUGAUGCUUAUCUUCAAACGGGGACUUGUUCCAUGAUCUGUCUUCUACUUUUGCUAAAAUCAUUAUGACUUGGAAACCUUUGAAGUUGGAUACAACCUUGGAUUCUUCUAAUUCCUGCAGAGCAGUGUAUUUUACAAAACAGCAGAAAUGUUCCUGCACUAGACAAUUAAAGGAAUAUAAACUCCAGUGGGCUGAAACUAGUAGCUCUUUGGGGAAUGCAGUAGCAGAGGCUUCUACAAAUACCAACACUUAAAAAUAUAUAAUAAACAGCAUCAUAUUAGAAACAAAGAAAACGAAGACAAGAAAUAUUAACACGUGGAUUAUAUUUGUUUCUUUUGGGGGGUAAUGAACUAAAGAGAAUGAAGAAGCCAUCGGUAAUUUAUCCCUUCAUUAAUGAACAGUCACCUUUUUGUAUGUGUUUGUUUUUGUCCUUUCUUUUUGAAGAGGGAUGUUGUUACUUUUGAAGCAAUUAGUCAAUUAUUUUGUAGCUCUGAUCUUUUCCCCCUGCACCCGACAGGACAGAAAGGUGGUGGUUAGGGAAUAUGUGAGUACUUGGGGAGGGGGGGACUUGGUGGGGAGAGAAAGAAUACAGUGAGUUCUUUGUAGAUCUUAUACAUGCACAACAUAUUAAUUGGGGGCUUUUAAAGCUCCCUCAAUGGGCUAUUUCAUUCCUGGUAAAACAGCAGCUGGUUAGCCACUACUGGUGACUCUUCAAAUAUUACUUCAUUUUUAUUCUGUCGCCGUUGUUGUUGUCUUGCUUUGUUUUUCCUCAGUUAAGAAUGAAAAUGUAGUAUCACCCCCUCUUUAGUGAGUCUCUUCUCCAUCUUCUUCACUCCAAUUUCCAAACUGUAAAACAAUGUUGGCUUAAUACUGAGUCCUGGUGCACAGUCUAACUGGCACAACUUGAUUUGGAAAUGAGAUGCUGCUUUAUAUUUAAAUUACCCCGGCUCCCCCCUUAUCCUCCAAAGCUUUGUCUCUGUUAUGAAUAUGCAGAUGAGGCCUGAUGUGAUUACACUGUACAAUUACUCCUAUCCAUGGUGGUGUCAGGGGCUGCUAGGGAGACAGAGAGUCAGACAGCCUCCAAGCCAAUACAGAGUUUUGUUUUCGGUAUUUUUCCUAUCUCCUUGGCACUGCGGCACAUGCAGAUGUCGCUGUUGUUCUUUAUAAAGCCCUAAUGUAUGCAAAAGCAUAACGAUUUGGUUUGGACGCAAAGCAUCAACGAAAUAUUAUGGAUGUCUUCAAGAAAGGGGGAGAGAAAAUCCUGACUGAAGGAAUGUCCACAUAAAUUAUUUUUAUUUAAAUGAAUUCAAAGGAUGGGAUGAGGGCAAGUCAGACGGAGUCGCGUGGAAAACAUGAAUAAUAUUAAUAUGCAUAAAGAAUUCUCACCAACGAGGAGAAGCUCCUCACUACAGCUCUUGGGACAAACAGGUUCAUUAGGAAACAGCUCAGAGCGACUACAGCAUUUUGCUAUUUCAAUUUUUUCCCUUAUUUUAAAUGAAGAGUCAGACAGAUGUGUUUUCUUUGCAUGGCAGCAUUGAGAUGGAUCCAAUCUGCGAAAUUUGCUGCCCAAAUAGCAUUUCUAAUGGAAACUGGAACUAAACAAGGGCACGGAUAUGGGAGGGAGGGGAGAAGAGAGAAUACACGAAGAAGAGUAUAUUCAGAGCCACUGCAUGGCAUUUUGAGUACAGGAGGUUUUCAGGAACGAUCUUUGCUUCAUUAGUCUCCCCUGUGGGCUCCUGAUGUAGGGAGCUAUCAGGGUAUACCAAGAUGAGCACUGAGACAGGCCUUUCUAGGUCUGAGGCUGAGGAAAGCAGCGGCAACUUGGUGCCUGUCCCCCAGAGCUGUCUACAGUUCAGAAGCCAAAAGCACAGCUACUUCUAAUUUGGGGAUGCAGUAGAGUGCCUACUGAUCCAGGUAUUUGUGAAAGAUGGAAUUCUUGGUGCUAUCAUAGUAUACAUUGCUAAAGAGCAGAUGAAAUCGGCUGCUUAAGGAGGCCUGAUAAUAUUUAUGUUGGUUAAUUCUCAUGAUAAUGAUAACUGCACUUGUCUAGUAUUUUCAGAAUGUUAAAAUUACCAGUGUGGCUUAAUGCAUGUUUACAAUAAAUAGAGAGGGACAAAGAGUGAAUGAGCCUAUUGGGUGGAUUCAAAACUGAUAAAAUAUUUGGACUAUUACUCAUGGUCUCCAAGGAUUAACAAAGAAAGUCAAAGAAGCAGUAGUCGGAAAAAAAGAGAUUUUGUUACUUCCCUUGGGCAGGUGGACAGAGUUCAAAUUACUUUCAUAAUUCAGCUAAAAGAAUUUUAUACUUCAGUUGAAAUUACAUGAAGACAUUUUUGAUCUGAUAUACAUAUCUGCAUAAAUUUCUAUUAUGACAUCAUAACGUUGACCUGGAACUGGUCUGAUUAUAAGCAUGUUCUAAAUACUGUUGCUCUUCACCUAUAAUCUCUAAAACUUCCAUUUAUAAGUUUCUUUUAAGACUCCCCCUCCAAUAAUUUCCAACUGUUACACGAUUCUCAACUGUUGGUACAGUGUACAAAACUACAGAGUACAGUGAAUUGAUGAUUAUUUGGAGAAUGGCUAUUUAAUCUGAAUUAUUCAUAUUUAACCUCUUAUACUUUCCAUCUCUGUUGCCAGAAUUACGGAUAUAGAAUUUUGAAAGAAUACAUGUAAAGAAUUAAGCACAGUAUCUGCACAUAACAAGCUCUAAAUAAGUGUUAGAUUUUAUUACUGCUAUCAUUACUAUUAUUACUUCAGUGUGUUGGUUACCAUUUGAGAGAAAUAAGGAAAAGAAAAUAAAAUUCAAUUUAAAAUUCAACCUUUACUUUCACUAUUAAAUAGCAAUGCAGGUAAAAGGCUGAGUGGAAAAGCAUUAAAUAGAUAUUCAUGGUGAAUAGACUGUGAAUGAUCUGUAAUCAGAAGUCAAACUACAGCUUAUGUCAAUGCACACUAGACCCAUGAAAGAGUUCCAUUAAAAAUGUAUGUAUAAUUCUGAAAUUUUCAUGUUGCAUGACAUGAAUAGUCUGAUAAGAGAGUUCUAUCGUGGUUGGUAUGGAGGGUUUUGGGAACUGAAAGGUGCUCAUUAUUUAACUACAAUGAUGAAGCAAUGCCAACUUUCAGUCUUUUUUUUUACAAAAAUAAGUUAUAUUUUUGAAUAAGUAAUACAUUACAAUGAAGUAUCAAUAAUUUAAAUAAUGUAGAAAGGAAAAGGUCUCUGUCUUUUCCCUCUUCUACCCAUGAGUUCCUCACCCAACCCCCAAAUAAGUAAUCACUGUUACUGUUUUCUUGUUCAUUCUACCAGCUAUUAAUAUAUUAAGAAGAUAUUAAUAUAGUCUCUCUCCUAUAUCUUACACAAAUGAUACUUUUUACCAAUAUUCCUUAGAAUUUUCUGUCAACACAAUAAGUUCAUUUGUGACUAGACAGCUUCAUUUCCAGUAAUCGUGCCAAUUAUUCCUUUUUCCUUAUUUCAUUGGUGAGGACAUCUAGUACGAUGUUGAAUAGAAGUAGUGAUAGGUGAGUGUAAACAUCCUUACCUUGUUUGCAAUCUUAGGGGAUGUCACUGUCUUGUUC
Molecule: long non-coding RNA, 5768 nt
Filed under: Homo sapiens (human)
Lineage: Eukaryota; Metazoa; Chordata; Mammalia; Primates; Hominidae
Description: non-protein coding lnc-DHX38-3:10
Source: RNAcentral